This is a long non-coding RNA of Cucurbita maxima (winter squash), 395 nucleotides long. RefSeq lists it as uncharacterized. The transcript is spliced from 3 exons. NCBI's taxonomy places the organism in Eukaryota, Viridiplantae, Streptophyta, Magnoliopsida, Cucurbitales, Cucurbitaceae. The record is from RefSeq and is a predicted model, not a curated record.
GCAGAUUGAUGUAUUCCUGGCCAUCCAAAUUUCAAAUGCUAUUGUGAAGUUCAACAUUGACAUGUUCAAGUUUCCUACUUUAGCAAGGAUUUAUGGAUCUUACAAGAAGUUACGAGAAUUCCUAGCCUCGUCACCAGAAAAGCAACCCAACGCCCUUCUUUAGGUGACUACAAGGCGGAGGCGCAAAAACCAUGUGAUAUCAUUAACAGCUUCAUGUCGGAAGAGCACAAGGCUCUUCACCUUGAGAUCGUGCGUUCGACCCCAUUGUGGGCCAAGGUAAUUUUUUUCUUUCUGUUUUUUACCUCUUUCGUAAUUGUCUAUUUUAUUUUGUUUUGGAGAUUUUAAUAUACUAAUAGUUAUUUAUUAAAAGAGCACAAAUGUUUAAUACGGUUAGA